Molecule: ribosomal RNA, 499 nt
Filed under: uncultured bacterium
Lineage: Bacteria
Description: partial 16S ribosomal RNA
Rfam family: Bacterial small subunit ribosomal RNA
Source: RNAcentral
GACGAACGCUGGCGGCAUGCCUUACACAUGCAAGUCGAACGGCAGCACGGGAGCAAUCCUGGUGGCGAGUGGCGAACGGGUGAGUAAUAUAUCGGAACGUGCCCAGUCGUGGGGGAUAACGUAGCGAAAGCUACGCUAAUACCGCAUACGAUCUAUGGAUGAAAGCGGGGAUCGCAAGACCUCGCGCGAUUGGAGCGGCCGAUAUCAGAUUAGGUAGUUGGUGAGGUAAAGGCUCACCAAGCCGACGAUCUGUAGCUGGUCUGAGAGGACGACCAGCCACACUGGGACUGAGACACGGCCCAGACUCCUACGGGAGGCAGCAGUGGGGAAUUUUGGACAAUGGGCGCAAGCCUGAUCCAGCAAUGCCGCGUGCAGGAUGAUGGCCUUCGGGUUGUAAACUGCUUUUGUACGGAACGAAACGGCGAGCUCUAAUACAGUUUGCUAAUGACGGUACCGUAAGAAUAAGCACCGGCUAACUACGUGCCAGCCGCCGCGGUAA